CGCUAAGAAGCUAAACAAGGAGUAGCACUAGCCUUUUAAGCUAGACAUUGGUGACUACCGACCACCCUCAGCGA
RNAcentral lists this transfer RNA (74 nucleotides) under Epinephelus polyphekadion. Its description in RNAcentral is "tRNA-Lys". Lineage: Eukaryota; Metazoa; Chordata; Actinopteri; Perciformes; Serranidae. The record is from RNAcentral.